Molecule: ribosomal RNA, 410 nt
Filed under: Argas reflexus
Lineage: Eukaryota; Metazoa; Arthropoda; Arachnida; Ixodida; Argasidae
Description: partial large subunit ribosomal RNA
Rfam family: Bacterial large subunit ribosomal RNA (bases 134-410)
Source: RNAcentral
UAUUUUGACUAUACGAAGGUAUUGAAAUAAGAUCUUAAAUGGGUGCUAAGAGAAUGGCUGUACAAAGAUUUUCUUUCUUGGAUUAAUUAAUUAGAAGUUGGUUUUUAAGUGAAAAAACUUAAAUUUAAUUUUGGGACAAGAAGACCCUAUGAAUUUUUACUAAACAGAUGCAAGAAAGGUGCUUGCAUUUAUUUAGUUUGGUUGGGGCGAUUUUUAAAGAUUAAUAAUCUUUAGACUUUUGUAAAUUGAUCCAUCAUUGAUGAUUAUUUUAAAAAAAUACUCUAGGGAUAACAGCGUUAUAAUUUUGGAUAGUUCCUAUUGAUAAAAUUGAUUGCGACCUCGAUGUUGGAUUAAGAUACUUUUGUAAUGAAGAAGUUACAGAAAGGAGUUUGCUCAACUUUUAAUAUCUU